RNAcentral lists this long non-coding RNA (296 nucleotides) under Canis lupus familiaris (dog). Its description in RNAcentral is "lncRNA (ENSCAFG00805014531.1, ENSCAFG00845009392.1)". Lineage: Eukaryota; Metazoa; Chordata; Mammalia; Carnivora; Canidae. The record is from RNAcentral.
ACCCAUUCUAUGAGCUCAGAAAAAUGAUGUCAUCUCUUGUAUCCAUUUUAUUAUCUCCCAAUUUCUAUUCUCAUUCUUUCAUAUCCAGAGGUACAUGUCAUCUGAAGCCUUGGGCCCUCCGCAUCAUAAAUCAGGAACAAAUCCAGGAGGGAGAAAGAGCAAAGGAGACAAGGACCUCGUUAAGAACACUAAGUUUCUGUGUAGAAAUUUCUAUAACUUUUGACGUGGAUCUUCACCCUCUAAAGCCCAGGAAUCUUUUUUCCACUUUAAAACUGGAGAAAAAAGUGUUGGCUUGA